UACGGAGGGUGCGAGCGUUGUCCGGAAUCAUUGGGCGUAAAGGGCGCGUAGGUGGCCCGGUCAGCGUGCGGUGAAAGCUCGGGGCUCAACCCCGAGUCGGCCGUGCGAACUGCUGGGCUUGAGCACUGUAGAGGCAGGCGGAAUUCCGGGUGUAGCGGUGGAAUGCGUAGAGAUCCGGAAGAACACCGGUGGCGAAGGCGGCCUGCUGGGACGUGGCUGACGCUGAGGCGCGACAGCGUGGGGAGCAAACAGG
RNAcentral lists this ribosomal RNA (253 nucleotides) under uncultured bacterium. RNAcentral's name for it is "partial 16S ribosomal RNA". It matches the Rfam family "Bacterial small subunit ribosomal RNA", at positions 524 to 776 of the family's 1533-position model. The record is from RNAcentral.